RNAcentral lists this non-coding RNA (44 nucleotides) under unclassified sequences. RNAcentral describes it as "chromate-resist RNA". It matches the Rfam family "chrB-a RNA", at positions 5 to 47 of the family's 80-position model. The record is from RNAcentral.
UGGGGACCGCGAUCUCCCCACGAGGCGACAGGCCUAAGCAUCGC